GGUUAGUGGCGCACGGGUGCGUAACGCGUGGGAACCUGCCUUUAGGUUCGGAAUAACAGUUAGAAAUGACUGCUAAUACCGGAUAAUGUCUUCGGACCAAAGAUUUAUCGCCUUUAGAUGGGCCCGCGUAGGAUUAGAUAGUUGGUGGGGUAAUGGCCUACCAAGUCGACGAUCCUUAGCUGGUCUGAGAGGAUGAUCAGCCACACUGGGACUGAGACACGGCCCAGACUCCUACGGGAGGCAGCAGUGGGGAAUAUUGGACAAUGGGCGAAAGCCUGAUCCAGCAAUGCCGCGUGAGUGAUGAAGGCCUUAGGGUUGUAAAGCUCUUUUACCAGGGAUGAUAAUGACAGUACCUGGAGAAUAAGCUCCGGCUAACUCCGUGCCAGCAGCCGCGGUAAUACGGAGGGAGCUAGCGUUGUUCGGAAUUACUGGGCGUAAAGCGCACGUAGG
This 450-nucleotide ribosomal RNA is filed under the name Erythrobacter sp. Ar-59. Its description in RNAcentral is "bacterial SSU rRNA". It matches the Rfam family "Bacterial small subunit ribosomal RNA", at positions 90 to 575 of the family's 1533-position model. Lineage: Bacteria; Pseudomonadati; Pseudomonadota; Alphaproteobacteria; Sphingomonadales; Erythrobacteraceae. The record is from RNAcentral.